Molecule: ribosomal RNA, 330 nt
Filed under: uncultured eukaryote
Lineage: Eukaryota
Description: partial 18S ribosomal RNA
Rfam family: Eukaryotic small subunit ribosomal RNA
Source: RNAcentral
CCCUUAGAUGUUCUGGGCCGCACGCGCGCUACACUGAUGCAUUCAACGAGUCUAAAACCUGGUCUGAUAGGGCUGGGUAAUCUUUUGAAAGUGCAUCGUGAUUGGGAUAGAUGAUUGCAAUUCUUCAUCUUCAACGAGGAAUGCCUAGUAAACGCAAGUCAUCAGCUUGCAUUGAUUACGUCCCUGCCCCUUGUACACACCGCCCGUCGCUCCUACCGAUUGAAUGAUCCGAUGAAUACCAUGGAUUGAGAGUACGAAUGGGUUCGCUCAUUUCUGCUGCUCGAGAAGUGGAGUAAAUCUUAUCAUUUAGAGGAAGGAGAAGUCGUAACA